Molecule: non-coding RNA, 202 nt
Organism: Cinara cedri
Lineage: Eukaryota; Metazoa; Arthropoda; Insecta; Hemiptera; Aphididae
Source: the annotation of a GenBank genome assembly
UCCGUUCGCGCACAAAUCGUUUCGUUGUUACUAUCGGCGGACCCGGGUUUCCGAAAAUCCGGAUUUUUUUUUUCCGCUCGUCAACCUCGCGGCGAGGCGACCUUUGCCGGAAGACGAAAUUAUUAUUAUUAUUUACAUUUCGCGUUUUCUCCGCGAAAACCCCCGCGGCGCGUACACUCGCGAAUGCGCUUUUAAUUUUUUU